UAUCGAUAAUAAGUUCAGAAUGGAUAAGAAUCAUAAUACACGACGAUCGAUUCUGUUAAACAUUUGAUUUUAACUAAUGAUUACAGCUUCACUUUGAAAUAAAGUUCGAUUUCAUACAUCUAAAUAGAAAUGAAAAUAUAAUAUUUUCUGAUCAAUCGGCACGAUAAAUUAUUAUUCUGAUUUUCAUUCCAAUCAUUUUUUUUCUUCCCCCCUAAUAAUGCGUUUAUUGUCUUUAUUCAA
Molecule: long non-coding RNA, 240 nt
Filed under: Ananas comosus (pineapple)
Lineage: Eukaryota; Viridiplantae; Streptophyta; Magnoliopsida; Poales; Bromeliaceae
Description: long non-coding RNA (ACOM_LNC027382)
Source: RNAcentral